GGGCCCGCACAAGCGGUGGAGUAUGUGGUUUAAUUCGAUGCAACGCGAAGAACCUUACCAGGGUUUGACAUCCUGCGAAUCUCUUGGAAACGAGAGAGUGCCUUCGGGAACGCAGUGACAGGUGGUGCAUGGCUGUCGUCAGCUCGUGUCGUGAGAUGUUGGGUUAAGUCCCGCAACGAGCGCAACCCACGUCUUUAGUUGCCAGCAUUUAGUUGGGCACUCUAGAGAGACCGCCGGUGAUAAACCGGAGAAGGUGUGGAUGACGUCAAGUCAUCAUGCCCCUUACAUCUGGGCUACACACGUACUACAAUGCUACGGACAAAGAGCAGCAAGUUCGCGAGGACAAGCAAAUCUCAUAAACCGUGGCUC
RNAcentral lists this ribosomal RNA (369 nucleotides) under uncultured bacterium. Its description in RNAcentral is "bacterial SSU rRNA". It matches the Rfam family "Bacterial small subunit ribosomal RNA", at positions 917 to 1289 of the family's 1533-position model. The record is from RNAcentral.